CCCAGACUCCUACGGGAGGCAGCAGUGAGGAAUAUUGGUCAAUGGGCGGGAGCCUGAACCAGCCAAGUCGCGUGAGGGACGACGGUCCUAUGGAUUGUAAACCUCUUUUGUCGGGGAACAAAGGCGCCCACGGGUGGGCGGAUGAGUGUACCCGAAGAAAAAGCAUCGGCUAACUCCGUGCCAGCAGCCGCGGUAAUACGGGGGGUGCAAGCGUUGUCCGGAAUCAUUGGGCGUAAAGCGUUCGUAGGCGGUAUGUCAAGUCUGAUGUUAAAGCCCGGGGCUCAACUCCGGGUCGGCAUUGGAUACUGGCAAACUAGAAUGUGGUAGAGGUAAAGGGAAUUCCUGGUGUAGCGGUGAAAUGCGUAGAUAUCAGGGGGAACAUCGGUGGCGAAAGCGCUUUACUGGACCAUUAUUGACGCUGAGGAACGAAAGCCAGGGGAGCAAAUGGGAUUAGAUACCCCUGUAA
Molecule: ribosomal RNA, 466 nt
Filed under: uncultured bacterium
Lineage: Bacteria
Description: bacterial SSU rRNA
Rfam family: Bacterial small subunit ribosomal RNA
Source: RNAcentral